Molecule: ribosomal RNA, 638 nt
Filed under: Lactobacillaceae bacterium
Lineage: Bacteria; Bacillati; Bacillota; Bacilli; Lactobacillales; Lactobacillaceae
Description: bacterial SSU rRNA
Rfam family: Bacterial small subunit ribosomal RNA
Source: RNAcentral
AUGAUUUUAGUGCUUGCACUAAAUGAAACUAGAUACAAGCGAGCGGCGGACGGGUGAGUAACACGUGGGUAACCUGCCCAAGAGACUGGGAUAACACCUGGAAACAGAUGCUAAUACCGGAUAACAACACUAGACGCAUGUCUAGAGUUUGAAAGAUGGUUCUGCUAUCACUCUUGGAUGGACCUGCGGUGCAUUAGCUAGUUGGUAAGGUAACGGCUUACCAAGGCAAUGAUGCAUAGCCGAGUUGAGAGACUGAUCGGCCACAUUGGGACUGAGACACGGCCCAAACUCCUACGGGAGGCAGCAGUAGGGAAUCUUCCACAAUGGACGAAAGUCUGAUGGAGCAACGCCGCGUGAGUGAAGAAGGGUUUCGGCUCGUAAAGCUCUGUUGGUAGUGAAGAAAGAUAGAGGUAGUAACUGGCCUUUAUUUGACGGUAAUUACUUAGAAAGUCACGGCUAACUACGUGCCAGCAGCCGCGGUAAUACGUAGGUGGCAAGCGUUGUCCGGAUUUAUUGGGCGUAAAGCGAGUGCAGGCGGUUCAAUAAGUCUGAUGUGAAAGCCUUCGGCUCAACCGGAGAAUUGCAUCAGAAACUGUUGAACUUGAGUGCAGAAAGAGGAGAGUGGAACUCCAUGGGUA